AAAUGAGACAGGAAUUAGGAGGUUUCCUGUGAGGUCCCUAGAGCCGUGGAAGUCACAGACACCAAGGGAAUGACGAAACAUGAAAUGGUGCACCUGCUGUGGAAGACAGUCUGGUUGGUUCCUCGAAAAGCUAAGCACAGAUUCAUUCCUAAGAAAGCUGGAAACAACCCGCGUGUCCCUCACGCCAUGAACUGAUAAACCGUGGUCCAUCCACACAACGGACUAUGAUUCUGCCACAAAAUGGGAACAAGACUCCGACACCAGCUCCUACAUUGGUGAACCUUGAAACCAGAGCAGGCAGACAUGAAGGACCAGAACAGGCAAGUGCACAGGCAAGAUCGCUUGUGCCAAUGAAUCCCAAAGAGCUGUGUUUGGGAAAACCAGCAAGAGUGUGGCUGCCACAUGGGAUGUCUGUGGAAGAGAUGAAAACGGUUCCACCUCCAAAAUUCCACCGGUGGCGUGCAAGAUAACUCGGCAGUGUGCG
Molecule: long non-coding RNA, 484 nt
Organism: Mustela erminea (ermine)
Lineage: Eukaryota; Metazoa; Chordata; Mammalia; Carnivora; Mustelidae
Exons: 5
Source: RefSeq, a predicted model, not a curated record